RNAcentral lists this ribosomal RNA (421 nucleotides) under bacterium enrichment culture clone ALO1_GLFRUDD03FR13E. Its description in RNAcentral is "bacterial SSU rRNA". It matches the Rfam family "Bacterial small subunit ribosomal RNA", at positions 9 to 431 of the family's 1533-position model. RNAcentral also lists the same sequence under 2 other names. The record is from RNAcentral.
GAGUUUGAUCGUGGCUCAGAUUGAACGCUGGCGGCAUGCCUUACACAUGCAAGUCGAACGGCAGCACGGGAGCUUGCUCCUGGUGGCGAGUGGCGAACGGGUGAGUAAUGCAUCGGAACGUAUCCUGGAGUGGGGGAUAACGUAGCGAAAGUUACGCUAAUACCGCAUAUUCUGUGAGCAGGAAAGCGGGGGACCUUCGGGCCUCGCGCUCUUGGAGCGGCCGAUGUCGGAUUAGCUAGUUGGUGAGGUAAAGGCUCACCAAGGCGACGAUCCGUAGCAGGUCUGAGAGGAUGAUCUGCCACACUGGAACUGAGACACGGUCCAGACUCCUACGGGAGGCAGCAGUGGGGAAUUUUGGACAAUGGGGGCAACCCUGAUCCAGCCAUGCCGCGUGAGUGAAGAAGGCCUCGGUUGUAAGUAC